GUCGAAAAGUCCUUUUUGCCAAUCUGGAAGAAUGGUUUUCUUUUUGGUUGUUUGGUUCUCAGUAUUAUGGAAAUGAAGGAACCGGAUGAAUGAAAGAUACCAUUUGAUGAAGGAAAAUUUAUUGGCUUUCAGAGAGAAAAUAAUAGAUGGGUAAGUUGGGUUCUUGGAGGAAACUGAAUGCGGAGAUUCAAUUUGAGGUUGAUGCAUCCAAUGUUUGACCCAGUUUAGUGGGAAUUGAAUCCGGAG
RNAcentral lists this unclassified non-coding RNA (246 nucleotides) under Hevea brasiliensis (rubber tree). The record is from RNAcentral. Lineage: Eukaryota; Viridiplantae; Streptophyta; Magnoliopsida; Malpighiales; Euphorbiaceae.